UUCGUAGGCGGUCUGUUAAGUCAGAGGUGAAAUCUAACGGCUCAACCGUUAGCCUGCCUUUGAAACUGGCAGACUUGAGUAUAGGAGAGGAAAGCGGAAUUCUUGGUGUAGCGGUGAAAUGCGUGGAUAUCAAGAGGAACACCCGUGGCGAAGGCGGCUUUCUGGCCAAAUACUGACGCUGAGGAACGAAAGCUAGGGGAGCAAACAGGAUUAGAUACCCUGGUAGUCC
RNAcentral lists this ribosomal RNA (229 nucleotides) under uncultured bacterium. RNAcentral's name for it is "partial 16S ribosomal RNA". It matches the Rfam family "Bacterial small subunit ribosomal RNA", at positions 568 to 796 of the family's 1533-position model. The record is from RNAcentral.